CUAGCUNCACCGUCACAUGAUUAAAAUUUGAUCAUGGGCUCAGGGUGAACGCUGGGCGGCGUGCCUAAAACAUGCAAGUCGAAGCGGGGCAGUUUAUGCCUGUUCAGCGGCGGACGGGUGAAUAACGCGUGGGUGACCUACCCGGGGAGAGGCGGACAACCUGGGGAAAACUCAGGCUAAUCCGCCAUGUGGUCCUGUUCUGUGGGGUGGGACUAAAGGGUGGAUAGCCCGCUUCCGGAUGGGCCCGCGUCCAUCAGCUGGUUGGUGGGGUAAAGGCCCACCAAGGCGACGACGGGUAGCCCGGUCUGAAAGGAUGGCCCGGCCACAGGGGCACUGAGACACGGGCCCCACUCCCUACGGGAGGCACCAGUUAGGAAUUUUCCCCAAUGGGACGGAAGGUCUGACGGAACCGACGCUUGCUUGGAAGGAAGAAACCCUUUCCGGGGUGUAAAACUCUUGAAACUGGGGGAACCAAAAGCCCUGUGUUAGGGGGGAUGACGGGU
This 503-nucleotide ribosomal RNA is filed under the name uncultured bacterium. Its description in RNAcentral is "bacterial SSU rRNA". It matches the Rfam family "Bacterial small subunit ribosomal RNA", at positions 1 to 476 of the family's 1533-position model. The record is from RNAcentral.